Otolemur garnettii (small-eared galago) is the source of this 107-nucleotide small nuclear RNA. The record is from Ensembl. NCBI's taxonomy places the organism in Eukaryota, Metazoa, Chordata, Mammalia, Primates, Galagidae.
GUGCUUGCUUUGGCAGGACAUUUACUAAAAUUGGAAUGAUACAAAGAAGAUUAGCAUGGCCCCUGCACAAGGAUGACAUGCAAAUUCAUGAAGCGUUCCAUAUUUAA